GGACCCGCACAAGCGGUGGAGCAUGUGGUUUAAUUCGAAGCAACGCGAAGAACCUUACCAAAUCUUGACAUCCUUUGACAACUCUAGAGAUAGAGCUUUCCCCUUCGGGGGACAAAGUGACAGGUGGUGCAUGGUUGUCGUCAGCUCGUGUCGUGAGAUGUUGGGUUAAGUCCCGCAACGAGCGCAACCCUUAUCUUUAGUUGCCAUCAUUAGGUUGGGCACUCUAGAGAGACUGCCGGUGAUAAACCGGAGGAAGGUGGGG
RNAcentral lists this ribosomal RNA (262 nucleotides) under uncultured prokaryote. RNAcentral describes it as "partial 16S ribosomal RNA". It matches the Rfam family "Bacterial small subunit ribosomal RNA", at positions 917 to 1178 of the family's 1533-position model. The record is from RNAcentral.